GUUAUUUAAUACGUUUCUAAGAGUGCGAGUUGUUUGGGAAUGCAGCUCUAAAUGGGUGGUAAAUUUCACCUAAUGCUAAAUAUAAGCGAGAGACCGAUAGCGAACAAGUACAGUGAUGGAAAGAUGAAAAGAACUUUGAAAAGAGAGUUAAAUAGUACGUGAAAUUGUUGAAAGGGAAACGAUUGAAGUCAGUCAUGCCGGUGGGAAUCAACUUAGGGGAAACUCUAAGUGCACUUCUUCGCUUGGCAGGUCAACGUCGAUUUUGGAUGUCAUAAAAUGAUUGGGGGAAGGUAGCUCCUUAGGGAGUGUUAUAGCCCUUGGUAGAUGUGAUGUCUGGGAUCGAGGAUUGCAAUGGAUACCCUUUGGGGCUAGCCGCCUGAUCUCUAAUUGGUAUUGGGUUACGGAUAGCAUGCUGACCGUGAUGCUAAUAUAUUGGUUAAAAGGUUAGAGCGUGCAUAAAUUCGUUAAGGAUGUUG
Molecule: ribosomal RNA, 476 nt
Filed under: Gigaspora albida
Lineage: Eukaryota; Fungi; Glomeromycota; Glomeromycetes; Diversisporales; Gigasporaceae
Description: eukaryotic LSU rRNA
Rfam family: Eukaryotic large subunit ribosomal RNA
Source: RNAcentral